CUAGCGACUUCUAGAGUUUGUAUCCUGGCGUCAGGAUUAACGCUGGCGGCGUGCAUAACACAUUCAAGUCGAACGGUGAAGGGAACUUCGGUUCCCCGAUCAGUGGCGGACGGGUGAGUAACGCGUGAGCAAUCUGCCUCUGUGUGCGGGAUAACAACCGGAAACAGUUGCUAAUACCGCAUAACGUAUUCGGGUCGCAUGUCCUGAAUACCAAAGGCUUGCUGCACAGAGAUGAGCUCGCGUCUGAUUAGGUAGUUGGCGGGGUAAUGGCCCACCAAGCCGACGAUCAGUAGCCGGACUGAGAGGUUGAACGGCCACAUUGGAACUGAGAAACGGUCCAG
RNAcentral lists this ribosomal RNA (341 nucleotides) under uncultured bacterium. RNAcentral's name for it is "bacterial SSU rRNA". It matches the Rfam family "Bacterial small subunit ribosomal RNA", at positions 1 to 334 of the family's 1533-position model. The record is from RNAcentral.